CAAAACCCUCUCUCUUUUCCUCCAUACCCAAGUCAAAAAAAAUGGGGGAACAACAGAGCUGAUUCAGAUUUGCUUCUGAUAUGAUGUAAUAUCGGAAAUGUGGGUCGGCCCUAUCAGAAACGCUGCUAUCAGAAACAAUGUGUGACGUGUUUUGGACGUAAUACGGUCUUUGUUUGCAUUAGCAAGCAUUACUAACACUCAGAGCUAACCUGUACUGGAGAGAAAAAGUGUUUAAACAGCAGGCAAAUACU
Long non-coding RNA from Notothenia coriiceps (black rockcod), 251 nucleotides. RefSeq lists it as uncharacterized. Lineage: Eukaryota; Metazoa; Chordata; Actinopteri; Perciformes; Nototheniidae. The record is from RefSeq and is a predicted model, not a curated record. The transcript has 4 exons.